CUGUGUUUUAGCUCUUUUUCAUUCAAAAGGUAAUGCUGCUUACCAUUGGUAAGUUUAAAUUUUUGAUACCCACCAUUGUUGGUAAUGGCUCGUUAGAUGUUUGAAAAUGUGCAUAUUAUUAAACAGUAAUAUCCGUUGUACAUUUCUGUUUGGCAGGUGUGAAAUGCACAUGUGUGGAUGGUUCUAAUACACUGCCUUGCCUUUGUGCUUGAAAGCUGUCACCUGUAUGUUUUGUGGAUUUCCAGUGACUAUUGUCAGCAACCAUUGCCUGUGAAUAUCAGAGAAAGAAGAGAACCAGGGAGAGGCACGCUUUGAUUUUUCAGCAAGAAAUGUAUGAAGAUGGAAAGCAAAGAGUGUUUUCAAAACCAAAGCAUUGAUCCACUCACAGAGGUCAGUGGUGCAAACUCACAAACUGGUGGUGGAGGGAUCUUCCUGCAGAAAGAGCAAGCUGGCCCCUGGAAACUGAGUGUGUGUGCAAGUUCUUACCUCUUCUGCCUCAUGUUACAGCCCUUUAUCGAAAUCCUGAGGGUUCUGAAGAAUGGAUUUUGGUGUCACCAGGAGACAGUUGUCUCACACAUGGAUUGGUACCAACUGUAUUGAGCAGAAUACUGAGGAUGUUUGAAAGUGCUGUUAAUUCUGAAAAAGAAACUUAUUUUGCUAUGGACUACUCUCUGUCAUCUUAAAAGUGUGGAGUCUUAAGAUACAUAUAAAAUGUCUAAAAUAUGUAAGAGAAGAAAAAUCUAUGUAAAAUUUCUCUAAAAAUCCAGAUAAAUUAUGGUGUAUUUAUGAUGUACAAGAACUUAAAGUACCUCUUCUCUGUAUUCAGUAUACUGGGGAGUCCAUUCAGAUGUGUGGGCUGUCAUACCUAUUGAUGCUUUUAAAUUGACUGAAAUGAAAAUAACUUCUUAAAGUCUUAUUGUACAAAGUGUGCAGUUAUUGAAUUCCAUUAUUGAGUGUGAUAAGAAUCUCGGAGGUCUCAGUGGCUGUUUUAUUGCUGGAGUACAUUGCACAUGCCUGCUGAAAUGAACUCUGUGCAUUACACUUAAAUGGGAAGCAGUCUGCUUCCAGACCUUACAGCCUUUAAGUAUCACACAAGAAGAAAACAUGGCAAGAUAAGAAAAUGUAAUGCCAAUAAGGCAUCCUGUGAUGAAAAACAAAUGCAAAGUACAUUUCUGAUUUAUCAACUUUUUGAAUUCCUCUGUUUUCUUUCCAUACCUGGAAGAAAAGUGUACUGUUGUUUACCCCCAGGACAAGGCCUGAGGUGGUGAUUUGAUUAAUCUUGAUAAGCAGUGCUAGGUACAGUUGUGGGAGGAGGUCAAAGGUUCAUAUAAACACCACCUGGCUCCAUUAGUUUUACUACAAGUAUCAUAGUUUUUUAUGCUAGUUAACUCUGGGAAGACUUAUCUAUGACAUGCAAACUUGAGUGAGUGAACACAGGAAUGUAAAUGUUCAACAUGAAACAUGAAAAUGUUUAACAAAUACGUUGUAAAGGUUGCUUAAAUAUUUUAAUUAAUAAUAGGCAAUUUUUUUUUUUUAAGUGUAUGAUGAGGACAGCAUAAUCUUUUCCCCAGAAGGCCUUUCUGUCAAAAGAGUUUCUUUGUAAAUUCUUCCUGUGUCUUGGUAUUAUGUAAGCUAAAAGUCCCUUGGCUACAAUAAGUAUUGGUUAGCUGACCUUUUGAAUCAACAUUUUAAAUAGUUUUUUUUUCAGCCCAAAGUUAUUUGUAAAUGAAACAAAUGAAAUUACUUUAGAUUCAUUACUUGUCAUGCAAGUUUAUGGUAGAAUAACCCAAAUAACACAUGCAGGAGUGCUGCAAUUGUAGUUUCUGUAUUCUAAGGGCAUUUUUGAGACUCUUUGUAUCUUUGCCCAAUCAUCUUUCCACAAUUUCAGACCAGACAGAAGCUUUUCAGGAAGAGGACUGAUAGGACUCUAAGACCCUGCCAAAGAAAAGCAGUAGAUCUUUCACAAGAGUGCCCACCUAAGAUGAUUUUAUUUUUUUUCCCCUGCUUUAAGGUUAAGUGACAACUAUUCCAAAAAAGGACCUGAGAUUCCUAGGAAACAUGCAGGAGGAUAUGAAACAAGUGUGGCCAUGCACUGGAAUGAGCCCAUGGGAGGGUCACCAGUAUCAUUAGAGACCUGUAGCACAUGAAGCACAAGAGUAGAGAGCAGGCUUUAUUCAGCCUUUGGGAAGGCUAAAGGGAGACCUUGUGACAAACACUUGGUUGAAAGUACAUAGCAAGAACUAAGAGGCAACAGACACAAGUGGCAACAAAUGAAAUUGUGAGGCAUUAGAAAAAAUCAUAUUCACAUCAAGGUGUAGUCGAAUAUUUAAAAUAAUUGUUCAGAGAGAGAUGAAAUAUCCAUCCUCAGGGAUAUUAAAAAUUCACCUGGACAAGGUUCUGAGUAACCUGCUUUGAACAGGGAAUCAGAUGAUCUUCAGAGGUCCUUUCUGAAUUGUUCUAUGAACCCUGGGGGAGAAAAGGGAAGAACAAAAGAGUUUAUUUAGAAAAAAAAAAUCUUAUGGCUCUGAAGUGAAUUGUGUGUUGCAAUGUUAAAACUGACCCAUGGAAGAAAAUCUGGACAUUUUGAGAGACAUGUCUUGGAAAAACAUCUAGAUGAAGUCUCUCCCUAUCCUGUAAUUUGACAAAGAUAUUUAUCUUUGUACUUCUUCACCUUCCUCAGCUGUAGGGAACAUCUGUUCCAUGAGAGUUACCAUCUCUUCAUUAAUUUAUAUCUGCAGACGGGAAAAAAAGAUAAGAAAAAUUGAACUUCAGAAAAAACCUAGGAAAAACAAUAUUCUCUUGAUUGUUUUUUCAUUGUAGCCUUUCUCACACUUAAGGAAGUUAUCCUUGAAAACUGUAAGAGCACACUUUGUGACAAAAGAUUGCUUUAGACCUCCUAUGAUUUCCAUAAAAUGGUCUCACAUGCUUUUAAGAAGAAGGCAGUGUGUAAUUACAAUAAAAUAAAAAAAAAAAAAUUCA
Long non-coding RNA from Cyanistes caeruleus (blue tit), 2979 nucleotides. The record is from Ensembl. NCBI's taxonomy places the organism in Eukaryota, Metazoa, Chordata, Aves, Passeriformes, Paridae.